CGACGCCCCGGCUGAGCCAGUCGUUUCCGAGUUCUCCGGCCCCUGAUGGGGACGUCUGCGCCCCUCUUCUCAGGCCAGAGGUGCAGAGAUAUACUUCCCCCGUCCCGGGGCUCAGCCAGCACUGCUAGGUUGUGCUACGAGCCAAGGACUGGCUGCCAGGAGCUCCUGGGGGCACCGCAGUGUGGGCCACCAGCUUGGAAGCAGAGGUCCCACCAGAUCUAGCGCUCAAUAAGGAGCAGCAGCUGCAGAUCUCCAAGGAGCUGGUCGACAUUCAGAUCACAACCCACCACCUACAUGAGCAGCAUGAGGCUGAAAUCUUCCAGCUGAAGAGUGAGGUGCAGCCCAAGAACACCAUGAACCCCGAGAAUGAGCAGCACAGGCUGGGGAGCGGCGUGAGUGUGCAGCCACCUAGCUCAGGGGAGAGGGCAGCACCAGAGACCCCAAGCCUAGGGUCUCAUCCAGCCAGCCCUGUGUGCCCCACAGCUGCAGGGGGAAGUGAAGUGGGC
RNAcentral lists this long non-coding RNA (506 nucleotides) under Homo sapiens (human). Its description in RNAcentral is "non-protein coding lnc-CCDC78-1:1". Lineage: Eukaryota; Metazoa; Chordata; Mammalia; Primates; Hominidae. The record is from RNAcentral.